Long non-coding RNA from Triticum aestivum (bread wheat), 1631 nucleotides. RefSeq lists it as uncharacterized. NCBI's taxonomy places the organism in Eukaryota, Viridiplantae, Streptophyta, Magnoliopsida, Poales, Poaceae. The record is from RefSeq and is a predicted model, not a curated record. The transcript has 5 exons.
UGUGCGCACCAGCCCAUGGGAACCAUCUGGUCGGGACGCACAGCAGCACGAGCGCUCGUCUGUCACUUACCUGGUCGGGACCCCACGAUACAUCGGCACGCGUCGAGCGGCGCAUAGACGAGCUCUCUUCCCCGCUCCUCUCUCUCUCGGUUCGCUGUGAGACGCAGAAAUUCCCCACUCCUCCCACCCAAAUCUCAUGGACCAGUUGUGAUUAAGGAAGGGCGCGGCCGGCGGGGAACCGUGGCCGUGAUUGGAUGGGGUCGUCGAGGACCAUGGCGGCGGAGCAGGCCAUGUCCAGGCACCGGAUCGACAGGCUCUAGGCGCAGAUCUACAAGCACCGGGCGCCAUCCCCGUCGGCGGCCCACACGUUGCUGCUCCAGCACCCGCGGCAGUAGAAGUGGGCGCGCCCGACAGACCUCAUCUCGUCAGGGGCGUCCACGUCGAAGUAGAUGUCGCGGGCGUGGGGCGCAUCGUUGACGGCCAUAGAGACGACGAUGCCGUCUACGGGAAGGCCGACAACGUCGCGCGUGUGCAGCUCGUCCGAGCACCACUACUCCCAGACGCCUUGGGCGCUCCAUUUGAAGUGCCGGAGCAUGGCGUCGUCUUGGACGACAUGAGACAAAAUUUUCAGUGCAAGGGGGCAAGUUGUAUCCACCACUUAGGCAAUUUUCAGGAAAAUACUGGCUUGUGAUUGAUUCUACAACUGAACUGGACUGCAGUUGCUCUACAUCGAGAAUUGUUGGGGCCUCCAUUGUAGGGUGAUUGCUCAGCCCGUGUCAAGGAAUUGGAUGGAUGGAUGUUGGCUGAACUGAAUUGGAUGGAUGUUGGCUGAAUUGCUCAGCCCGUGUCAAGAAAGCUUCAGACAAAAAGAUUGCUCAGCCCAUGUCAACUGAACUGAAUUGGAUGGAUGUUGGCUACCGGCCGGCUGAUGUAGCAGGAAAGGAAAGUUCAGGCCGAGGUUGCACAUUAUGCAAUGCGCCGAUGAAGAAGCAACGAAUUUUCACUAGUACUCCUAGUAUUAUUGUUGGCCAAUUUACAGGGUGCGACGAUGAGGGAUGCACAAACAAGCUGUGGCCAGUGGGAGAGGCAAGGGGACCUGUUCACCGCUGCAAGAGGGAUGUCGAAGGAACCAAAAGUGGAAGCUAGCAUAGCGACACCAUGUUCAUUUGUCUUCAAGAGGACCCACAUAUAAAAAUAUCAAAGCCAUGGAAGGCCUAGAGCAGCUACGCUCUAGGUGUAGUGCAAAAAAAUGAUACUAGUUGCCCGGGGACCAGGUGCUUUUUUCUCUUCGAUGGGUGGUCACACAAGACGAUGGGGUGGAAGAAGAAAGAAGAGGGAGAGGAAGAAGGGCGUGGGGACAGCUUGGGAGAGAAGAAGAAAGGAGAGAGGGGGCAAUGCUUUUGGUGAAGCGCGUGAAGGGAGGGAGAGAAGCUGGGUGGACGGAGGGACGUGUGAGACGGUGAACCCUUUCCUUUCCAAAUCUGGACUGAGGGGGACCAAAACAUACCUAAUAUGGGAGGCUGCCAGGGGGCACUAGCGGGCACACGUUUGCCAGCUAGUAGACGCGUCCAAAAAAUAAACAAAGUCCUCAUAUGUGGCAUUUCACCAUCACAUAUGUGGUGUGGAUAAGA